Long non-coding RNA from Oncorhynchus tshawytscha (Chinook salmon), 441 nucleotides. The record is from Ensembl. Lineage: Eukaryota; Metazoa; Chordata; Actinopteri; Salmoniformes; Salmonidae.
GUAAUAAUGAGAGCCAGGUGUGUGUAAUGAUGAGUGCCAGGUGUGUGUAAUGAUGAGUGCCAGGUGGGUGUAUUAAUGAGAGCCAGGUGUGUGUAAUGAUGAGUGCCAGGUGUACGUAAUGAUGAGUGCCAGGUGUGCGUAAUAAUGAGAGCCAGGUGUGCGUAAUAAUGAGUGCCAGGUGGGUGUAAUGAUGAGUGCCAGGUGGGUGUAAUGAUGAGUGCCAGGUGUGUGUAAUGAUGAGUGCCAGGUGUGUGUAAUGAUGGGUGCCAGGUGUGUGUAAUGAUGAGUGCCAGGUGGGUGUAAUGAUGAGAGCCAGGUGUGUGUAAUGAUGAGUGCCAGGUGGGUGUAAUGAUGAGUGCCAGGUGGGUGUAAUGAUGAGUGCCAGGUGUGUGUAAUGAUGAGUGCCAGGUGGGUGCAAUGAUGAGUGCAAGGUGUGUGUAA